UCAGAAUCCGAUCCGAAUUGGUUUUCUUCCUCUUCUUUAUAUAUUCAAUCUCCCCCUGUUUUUCUCCCUCUCACUUUACUCUUUGCCUAAACUAUUCAUACCCGUAGCAGAUAUGGACGGGAAUCCUCCAGGUAAGAUCAAUAUGCGGACUCGUUAAAAAAGGUAGGAACUGGAACGGGUCAGAUUAUGUAUGUAGCAUCAGCUGUAUUCUCCCAUGCAGGAUUCUUAUUCAUUUGAGCAAGGGCGUAUUCGCUGCCUAUAGACAUUUUGAAAUGAUAAGUCGGUCAAUUUCAUCCGUUAAUCACGAUGGUAUUAUCUUAGCUCCACUGAACAUCAUAUCUCCAUCAACAUUACAAACAUGAACGUUAGUAAUAGCUUCCGGCUGGUAAGCAAGAGUUUCUCACCUUAUCCUAUAUUCUUUUCAUCUUAAUUCUUAAGCUAUCGAGUCGAGAAUAUAUUACUACUGAUUUUUACAUUUGUAAUAUGUAGUAUGAACUUUCUUCCAACUGUUGUUGUAUCGUUACUGGUCUUUAAAUGGAUGCUUAAUCGAUACGACUUAUAUAAAUGAAAUUAUUGAUGUAAAUAAAUACUUUCUUGUGUUUUUUUUGUUGGAA
Molecule: long non-coding RNA, 614 nt
Organism: Papaver somniferum (opium poppy)
Lineage: Eukaryota; Viridiplantae; Streptophyta; Magnoliopsida; Ranunculales; Papaveraceae
Exons: 2
Source: RefSeq, a predicted model, not a curated record